Molecule: ribosomal RNA, 2075 nt
Filed under: Vibrio cholerae
Lineage: Bacteria; Pseudomonadati; Pseudomonadota; Gammaproteobacteria; Vibrionales; Vibrionaceae
Description: partial 23S ribosomal RNA
Rfam family: Bacterial large subunit ribosomal RNA
Source: RNAcentral
GUGAUCUAGCCAUGGGCAGGUUGAAGGUUGAGUAACAUCAACUGGAGGACCGAACCGACUAAUGUUGAAAAAUUAGCGGAUGACUUGUGGCUAGGGGUGAAAGGCCAAUCAAACUCGGAGAUAGCUGGUUCUCCCCGAAAGCUAUUUAGGUAGCGCCUCGGACGAAUACUACUGGGGGUAGAGCACUGUUAAGGCUAGGGGGUCAUCCCGACUUACCAACCCUUUGCAAACUCCGAAUACCAGUAAGUACUAUCCGGGAGACACACGGCGGGUGCUAACGUCCGUCGUGGAGAGGGAAACAACCCAGACCGCCAGCUAAGGUCCCAAAGUAUUGCUAAGUGGGAAACGAUGUGGGAAGGCUCAGACAGCUAGGAUGUUGGCUUAGAAGCAGCCAUCAUUUAAAGAAAGCGUAAUAGCUCACUAGUCGAGUCGGCCUGCGCGGAAGAUGUAACGGGGCUAAGCAAUACACCGAAGCUGCGGCAAUAUCUUUUAGAUAUUGGGUAGGGGAGCGUUCUGUAAGCCGUUGAAGGUGAAUCGUAAGGUUUGCUGGAGGUAUCAGAAGUGCGAAUGCUGACAUGAGUAACGACAAAGGGGGUGAAAAACCUCCUCGCCGGAAGACCAAGGGUUCCUGUCCAACGUUAAUCGGGGCAGGGUGAGUCGACCCCUAAGGUGAGGCCGAAAGGCGUAAUCGAUGGGAAACGGGUUAAUAUUCCCGUACUUCUGACUAUUGCGAUGGGGGGACGGAGAAGGCUAGGUGGGCCAGGCGACGGUUGUCCUGGUUCAAGUGCGUAGGCUUGAGAGUUAGGUAAAUCCGGCUCUCUCUAAGGCUGAGACACGACGUCGAGCUGCUACGGCAGUGAAGUCAUUGAUGCCAUGCUUCCAGGAAAAGCCUCUAAGCUUCAGAUAGUCAGGAAUCGUACCCCAAACCGACACAGGUGGUCGGGUAGAGAAUACCAAGGCGCUUGAGAGAACUCGGGUGAAGGAACUAGGCAAAAUGGUACCGUAACUUCGGGAGAAGGUACGCUCUUGAUGGUGAAGUCCCUCGCGGAUGGAGCUGACGAGAGUCGCAGAUACCAGGUGGCUGCAACUGUUUAUUAAAAACACAGCACUGUGCAAAAUCGCAAGAUGACGUAUACGGUGUGACGCCUGCCCGGUGCCGGAAGGUUAAUUGAUGGGGUUAGCGCAAGCGAAGCUCUUGAUCGAAGCCCCGGUAAACGGCGGCCGUAACUAUAACGGUCCUAAGGUAGCGAAAUUCCUUGUCGGGUAAGUUCCGACCUGCACGAAUGGCGUAAUGAUGGCCACGCUGUCUCCACCCGAGACUCAGUGAAAUUGAAAUCGCUGUGAAGAUGCAGUGUACCCGCGGCUAGACGGAAAGACCCCGUGAACCUUUACUACAGCUUGGCACUGAACAUUGAACCUACAUGUGUAGGAUAGGUGGGAGGCUAUGAAGACGUGACGCCAGUUGCGUUGGAGCCGUCCUUGAAAUACCACCCUUGUAUGUUUGAUGUUCUAACUUAGACCCAUUAUCUGGGUUGAGGACAGUGCCUGGUGGGUAGUUUGACUGGGGCGGUCUCCUCCCAAAGAGUAACGGAGGAGCACGAAGGUGGGCUAAUCACGGUUGGACAUCGUGAGGUUAGUGCAAUGGCAUAAGCCCGCUUAACUGCGAGAAUGACGGUUCGAGCAGGUGCGAAAGCAGGUCAUAGUGAUCCGGUGGUUCUGUAUGGAAGGGCCAUCGCUCAACGGAUAAAAGGUACUCCGGGGAUAACAGGCUGAUACCGCCCAAGAGUUCAUAUCGACGGCGGUGUUUGGCACCUCGAUGUCGGCUCAUCACAUCCUGGGGCUGAAGUCGGUCCCAAGGGUAUGGCUGUUCGCCAUUUAAAGUGGUACGCGAGCUGGGUUUAGAACGUCGUGAGACAGUUCGGUCCCUAUCUGCCGUGGGCGUUGGAAGAUUGAAGGGGGCUGCUCCUAGUACGAGAGGACCGGAGUGGACGAACCUCUGGUGUUCGGGUUGUGUCGCCAGACGCAUUGCCCGGUAGCUAAGUUCGGAAUUGAUAAGCGCUGAAAGCAUCUAAGCG